Molecule: long non-coding RNA, 650 nt
Organism: Myotis brandtii (Brandt's bat)
Lineage: Eukaryota; Metazoa; Chordata; Mammalia; Chiroptera; Vespertilionidae
Exons: 3
Source: RefSeq, a predicted model, not a curated record
GUUAUACAACUAGUUUGUUAAAGUCUAUUUUGAAUCAAGAGCAAGCUCGGCGGAGCAAAAUAUAACCUAGGAUAUAAUUGUGAUUCUCUGCUAUUAAUAGACUUGGAUUAGAAAUCAAAAACCCUAGAUGCCAAAUUUCAACUCUAAUUUACUAACUGUAGGCAACACAUCAUUUCUAAUUCCAGUUCUCUCCAUCUGCACAAAAAUAAUUAGAACAAGGAUAACUAGUUCAUAUGAAGAGUUCUCUAAUCCAUUUUAUAAAUGCAAAAUGGACUGAUGGUUCCUUGGAUUGUACCUUUUAAGCAACUACUCAUCUGUUUUCCAGGCUGCUCUUGACCUUGGGUUGGGGUUUACCCUUCAAGAAGCUUUCUCUGAACCUCUGACUCAGACAGGGAAAGGGGCCUCUCCCUAUGUCGCACCUGCCUCCCCCACUUCUCCCCACGUGACACAGCACCUAUCCGCUCUGCUUUGUCUUUAAGUGCAGAUACCCUGUCUGAUACAGUUUAGCAUUUAGUGUUCCCCACCCCUCUCCAGACAUAGAAGGCAUUAGACACAGUUCACUGAUCACAAUUUAUUAUAAUCUGCUGGCAGCAUAGAUAUUAGUUACCAGAACUAUGUCUUCAUAGAAGUGGACAGUAUGUAGCCAUUCU